UCGGAGCGAACCGAAUUAAGAGCUUGCUCUUAAAGAAGUUAGCGGCGGACGGGUGAGUAACACGUAGGUAACCUGCCUAUAAGACUGGGAUAACUCCGGGAAACCGGGGCUAAUACCGGAUAACAUUUUGCACCGCAUGGUGCGAAAUUGAAAGGCGGCUUCGGCUGUCACUUAUAGAUGGACCUGCGGCGCAUUAGCUAGUUGGUGAGGUAACGGCUCACCAAGGCGACGAUGCGUAGCCGACCUGAGAGGGUGAUCGGCCACACUGGGACUGAGACACGGCCCAGACUCCUACGGGAGGCAGCAGUAGGGAAUCUUCCGCAAUGGACGAAAGUCUGACGGAGCAACGCCGCGUGAGCGAUGAAGGCCUUCGGGUCGUAAAGCUCUGUUGUUAGGGAAGAACAAGUGCUAGUUGAAUAAGCUGGCACCUUGACGGUACCUAACCAGAAAGCCACGGCUAACUACGUGCCAGCAGCCGCGGUAAUACGUAGGUGGCAAGCGUUAUCCGGAAUUAUUGGGCGUAAAGCGCGCGCAGGUGGUUUCUUAAGUCUGAUGUGAAAGCCCACGGCUCAACCGUGGAGGGUCAUUGGAAACUGGGAGACUUGAGUGCAGAAGAGGAAAGUGGAAUUCCAUGUGUAGCGGUGAAAUGCGUAGAGAUAUGGAGGAACACCAGUGGCGAACGGCGACUUUCUGGUCUGUAACUGACACUGAGGCGCGAAAGCGUGGGGAGCAAACAGGGAUUAGAUACCCUGGUUAGUUCCACGCCCGUAAACGAUGAGUGCUAAGUUGUUAGGAGGGUUUCCGCCCUUUAGUGCUGAAGUUAACGCCAUAAGCCACCUCCGCCUGGGGAGUACGCCGCAAAGCUGAUACUCAAGGAUUUGACGGGGGCCCGCACAAGCGG
This 901-nucleotide ribosomal RNA is filed under the name uncultured bacterium. RNAcentral describes it as "bacterial SSU rRNA". It matches the Rfam family "Bacterial small subunit ribosomal RNA", at positions 62 to 932 of the family's 1533-position model. The record is from RNAcentral.